Octopus sinensis (East Asian common octopus) is the source of this 276-nucleotide long non-coding RNA. RefSeq lists it as uncharacterized. The transcript has 4 exons. NCBI's taxonomy places the organism in Eukaryota, Metazoa, Mollusca, Cephalopoda, Octopoda, Octopodidae. The record is from RefSeq and is a predicted model, not a curated record.
UCCAACAAUGGAUCCGACAACAUUGCCAAACAUUUCAUUUGGAAUCGCAAGAUAUUCUAUUCGAAUUUCAUUUUUCAAAUCAUCAAUUGUCACUGGUUUUGCAGUGUAAACCUUAUCUUUGAGAUGUCCCCAUUAAAAAAAAAAUCCAUUAGCGUGAGGUCUGGAGAACGUGCAGGAAAUUCAACGCUGCCUCAUGCUACCUCUCCUCCCAAUCCAUUUGUUUGGAUUUGUUGCAUCGAGGUAAGCCGUACAUCGCAAAAAACAAUACAUUAGGAU